Molecule: ribosomal RNA, 926 nt
Filed under: Aspergillus nidulans
Lineage: Eukaryota; Fungi; Ascomycota; Eurotiomycetes; Eurotiales; Aspergillaceae
Description: eukaryotic LSU rRNA
Rfam family: Eukaryotic large subunit ribosomal RNA (bases 638-926)
Source: RNAcentral
CCGUGCUCUACCGAUUGAUGGCUCGGUGAGGCCUCCGGACUGGCUCAGGAGGGUUGGCAACGACCCCCCCGAGCCGGAAAGCUGGUCAAACCCGGUCAUUUAGAGGAAGUAAAAGUCGUAACAAGGUUUCCGUAGGUGAACCUGCGGAAGGAUCAUUACCGAGUGCGGGCUGCCUCCGGGCGCCCAACCUCCCACCCGUGACUACCUAACACUGUUGCUUCGGCGGGGAGCCCCCCAGGGGCGAGCCGCCGGGGACCACUGAACUUCAUGCCUGAGAGUGAUGCAGUCUGAGCCUGAAUACAAAUCAGUCAAAACUUUCAACAAUGGAUCUCUUGGUUCCGGCAUCGAUGAAGAACGCAGCGAACUGCGAUAAGUAAUGUGAAUUGCAGAAUUCAGUGAAUCAUCGAGUCUUUGAACGCACAUUGCGCCCCCUGGCAUUCCGGGGGGCAUGCCUGUCCGAGCGUCAUUGCUGCCCUCAAGCCCGGCUUGUGUGUUGGGUCGUCGUCCCCCCCGGGGGACGGGCCCGAAAGGCAGCGGCGGCACCGUGUCCGGUCCUCGAGCGUAUGGGGCUUUGUCACCCGCUCGAUUAGGGCCGGCCGGGCGCCAGCCGGCGUCUCCAACCUUAUUUUUCUCAGGUUGACCUCGGAUCAGGUAGGGAUACCCGCUGAACUUAAGCAUAUCAAUAAGCGGAGGAAAAGAAACCAACCGGGAUUGCCUCAGUAACGGCGAGUGAAGCGGCAAGAGCUCAAAUUUGAAAGCUGGCCCCUUCGGGGUCCGCGUUGUAAUUUGCAGAGGAUGCUUCGGGUGCGGCCCCUGUCUAAGUGCCCUGGAACGGGCCGUCAGAGAGGGUGAGAAUCCCGUCUUGGGCAGGGUGCCCGUGCCCGUGUGAAGCUCCUUCGACGAGUCGAGUUUUGUGGGGGAAUGCA